RNAcentral lists this long non-coding RNA (241 nucleotides) under Mytilus galloprovincialis (Mediterranean mussel). Lineage: Eukaryota; Metazoa; Mollusca; Bivalvia; Mytilida; Mytilidae. The record is from RNAcentral.
AUCCAAUGAAAUGUAGAUGAUGAAAAACAACAAACAAACAGUGCCUUAAUUUAUUUUGUUGUUACUCAUUUGUGUAAGAAUUAUACAUUUUCUUGAUAAAAGAAUUAUCUAAUGUCUUUCCUACACAUAUUUAAUGUUGUUGGUUUAGACUUUUGUCUUUUGCUGGACAACUAGAAUGCAUUUCCAUCCAUGUAGACUACAUGCUCUGUCAUAGGUAAUGAUCCUUACAACUAAUCAUCCC